CCUACGGGAGGCAGCAGUGGGGAAUUUUGGACAAUGGGCGAAAGCCUGAUCCAGCAAUGCCGCGUGAGUGAAGAAGGCCUUCGGGUUGUAAAGCUCUUUUGUCAGGGAAGAAACGGUGAGGGCUAAUAUCCCUUGCUAAUGACGGUACCUGAAGAAUAAGCACCGGCUAACUACGUGCCAGCAGCCGCGGUAAUACGUAGGGUGCAAGCGUUAAUCGGAAUUACUGGGCGUAAAGCGUGCGCAGGCGGUUUUGUAAGUCUGUCGUGAAAUCCCCGGGCUCAACCUGGGAAUUGCGAUGGAGACUGCAAGGCUAGAAUCUGGCAGAGGGGGGUAGAAUUCCACGUGUAGCAGUGAAAUGCGUAGAGAUGUGGAGGAACACCGAUGGCGAAGGCAGCCCCCUGGGUCAAGAUUGACGCUCAUGCACGAAAGCGUGGGGAGCAAACAGGAUUAGAUACCCUGGUAGUCCACGCCCUAAACGAUGUCUACUAGUUGUCGGGUUUUAAUUAACUUGGUAACGCAGCUAACGCGUGAAGUAGACCGCCUGGGGAGUACGGUCGCAAGAUUAAAACCUUAAAGGAAUUGACGG
This 586-nucleotide ribosomal RNA is filed under the name uncultured bacterium. RNAcentral describes it as "bacterial SSU rRNA". It matches the Rfam family "Bacterial small subunit ribosomal RNA", at positions 338 to 916 of the family's 1533-position model. The record is from RNAcentral.